Molecule: ribosomal RNA, 412 nt
Filed under: Babesia canis
Lineage: Eukaryota; Apicomplexa; Aconoidasida; Piroplasmida; Babesiidae
Description: SSU rRNA
Rfam family: Eukaryotic small subunit ribosomal RNA
Source: RNAcentral
GCGGUAAUUCCAGCUCCAAUAGCGUAUAUUAAACUUGUUGCAGUUAAAAAGCUCGUAGUUGUAUUUUUGCGUUAGCGGUUUGACCAUUUGGUUGGUUAUUUCGUUUUCGCUUUUGGGAAUUUCCCUUUUUACUUUGAGAAAAUUAGAGUGUUUCAAGCAGACUUUUGUCUUGAAUACUUCAGCAUGGAAUAAUAGAGUAGGACUUUGGUUCUAUUUUGUUGGUUAUUGAACCUUAGUAAUGGUUAAUAGGAACGGUUGGGGGCAUUCGUAUUUAACUGUCAGAGGUGAAAUUCUUAGAUUUGUUAAAGACGAACUACUGCGAAAGCAUUUGCCAAGGACGUUUCCAUUAAUCAAGAACGAAAGUUAGGGGAUCGAAGACGAUCAGAUACCGUCGUAGUCCUAACCAUAAACU